RNAcentral lists this ribosomal RNA (492 nucleotides) under uncultured bacterium. Its description in RNAcentral is "partial 16S ribosomal RNA". It matches the Rfam family "Bacterial small subunit ribosomal RNA", at positions 28 to 507 of the family's 1533-position model. The record is from RNAcentral.
GACGAACGCUGGCGGCGUGCUUAACACAUGCAAGUCGAACGGAAAGGCCCCCACUUUUUUGGUGGGGGUGCUCGAGUGGCGAACGGGUGAGUAACACGUGGGUGAUCUGCCCUGUACUUCGGGAUAAGCUUGGGAAACUGGGUCUAAUACCGGAUAGGACCAUGGUUUAGUGUCUCAUGGUGGAAAAAUUAUUGUUUUGGUGCAGGAUGAGCUCGCGGCCUAUCAGCUUGUUGGUGGGGUAAUGGCCUACCAAGGCGUCGACGGGUAGCCGGCCUGAGAGGGUGGACGGCCACAUUGGGACUGAGAUACGGCCCAGACUCCUACGGGAGGCAGCAGUGGGGAAUAUUGCACAAUGGGCGCAAGCCUGAUGCAGCGACGCCGCGUGGGGGAUGACGGCCUUCGGGUGGUAAACUCCUUUCGUUAGGGACGAAGCCGCACCUUUUUUGGGUGUGGUGACGGUACCUUUGUGAAGAAGCACCGGCUAACUACGUG